RNAcentral lists this ribosomal RNA (503 nucleotides) under uncultured bacterium. RNAcentral describes it as "partial 16S ribosomal RNA". It matches the Rfam family "Bacterial small subunit ribosomal RNA", at positions 30 to 523 of the family's 1533-position model. The record is from RNAcentral.
AUUGAACGCUGGCGGCAGGCUUAACACAUGCAAGUCGAGCGGGGUGAUGGUGCUUGCACUAUCACUUAGCGGCGGACGGGUGAGUAAUGCUUAGGAAUCUGCCUAUUAGUGGGGGACAACAUCUCGAAAGGGAUGCUAAUACCGCAUACGUCCUACGGGAGAAAGCAGGGGCUCACUUGUGACCUUGCGCUAAUAGAUGAUCCUAAGUCGGAUUAGCUAGUUGGUGGGGUAAAGGCCUACCAAGGCGACGAUCUGUAGCGGGUCUGAGAGGAUGAUCCGCCACACUGGGACUGAGACACGGCCCAGACUCCUACGGGAGGCAGCAGUGGGGAAUAUUGGACAAUGGGGGGAACCCUGAUCCAGCCAUGCCGCGUGUGUGAAGAAGGCCUUAUGGUUGUAAAGCACUUUAAGCGAGGAGGAGGCUCUUUUGGUUAAUACCCAAGAUGAGUGGACGUUACUCGCAGAAUAAGCACCGGCUAACUCUGUGCCAGCAGCCGCCGUAA